Molecule: non-coding RNA, 264 nt
Organism: Thermaerobacter marianensis DSM 12885
Lineage: Bacteria; Bacillati; Bacillota; Clostridia; Eubacteriales; Clostridiales Family XVII. Incertae Sedis
Rfam family: Bacterial large signal recognition particle RNA
About the family: The signal recognition particle (SRP) is a universally conserved ribonucleoprotein involved in the co-translational targeting of proteins to membranes. Archaeal SRP consists of a 7S RNA and homologues of the eukaryotic SRP19 and SRP54 proteins.
Source: Rfam
CCGUGCUAGACGGGGAGGUAGCGGUGCCCUGUACCCGCAAUCCGCUAUAGCGGGGUCGAACUCCCGUCCGAGGCCCCCGCGGUCGGGGCCAGCACCGGAUACGGGGUGUUGAAGGCCGGGUCCCGCGCAACGCGGACUCGUGAACCCCGCCAGGCCCGGAAGGGAGCAACGGUAAGCGAGCCACCGCGUGUGCCGCGGGGGAGCCGGGCCGGAGCCCACGGUUCGGCCAGCGCCCGGGUGCGGGUGUCGACGACGGGUGCACGG